GCAGACACAUUCCAGCCAAUCAGCAGCAGACUCUCCCUCCCAGACCCUCCCUCCUCCUGGACAGCAUCCAUUUUGAAGCUGCAUUCUUAGUGAGCUGUCCAGGAGGUGGGAGGGUCUGGGAGGGAGGGUCUGCUGCUGAUUGGCUGGAAUGUGUCUG
Pelobates cultripes (western spadefoot toad) is the source of this 157-nucleotide non-coding RNA. NCBI's taxonomy places the organism in Eukaryota, Metazoa, Chordata, Amphibia, Anura, Pelobatidae. The record is from the annotation of a GenBank genome assembly.